GACGAACGCUGGCGGCGUGCCUAAUACAUGCAAGUAGGACGCAGUUGCGAACGGGUGAGUAACGCGUAGGUAACUACCUAUUAGAGGGGGAUAACUAUUGGAAACGAUAGCUAAUACCGCAUACUAGUAGAUGGACCUGCGUUGUAUUUGCUAGUAGGUAGGGUAAUGGCCUACCUAGGCAACGAUACAUAGCCGAGCUUGGAGGGUGGUCGGCCACCAUGGGACUGGGAAAAGGCCCAGACGUCUUCGGGAGGGAGCCGUAGGGAAUCUUCGGCAAUGGGGGGAACCCUGACCGAGCAACGCCGCGGUAGUGAAGAAGGUUUUCGGAUCGUAAAGCUCUGUUGUUAAGGAAGCGGUACCUAACCAGAAAGGGACGGCUAACUACGUGCCAGCAGCCGCGGUAAUAC
Molecule: ribosomal RNA, 407 nt
Filed under: uncultured bacterium
Lineage: Bacteria
Description: partial 16S ribosomal RNA
Rfam family: Bacterial small subunit ribosomal RNA
Source: RNAcentral